GGCACCUAUGCCGCCCGGGGGAUGGCUCGGCUCGGGCGCCGAGGAAGGGCGUGGCAAGCUGCGAUAAGCCCGGGGUAGGCGCAGGCAGCCGUCGAACCCGGGAUCCCCGAAUGGGACUUCCCGCUGCGGGUGAAGAGCCCGCAGCGCCCCCGUUUGGGGGCGGGAACCCCCCGAAAGGAAGCAUCUGAGUAGGGGGAGGAGAAGAAACCAACAGGGAUCCCCUGAGUAGGGGCGACCGAAAGGGGGAGAGCCCAAACCAAUCCCCCACGGGAGGACCGUGGGGGGAUGAGGGGUUGCGGCCCUGCGGCUGGGGCUUCGAGCCCCGGCGGGCCGACCCACGGUAGCCGAAGUGGGCUGGAAUGCCCCGCCGUAGAGGGUGAUAGCCCCGUAGGCGAAACCGUGGGGGCCCGUGCCGCAGGGCAGAGUACCACGGCUUGGUAUUGCCGUGGGAAGCUGGGAGGAACCGACUUCCAAGGCUAAAUACGUCCCGAGACCGAUAGCGAACUAAGUACCGUGAGGGAAAGCUGAAAAGAACCCCGGGAGGGGGGUGAAAAGAGCCUGAAACCGGGCGGCGACAUACGGUGCGGCCCGAAAGGGGUGAAACCCCCGAAGGAAACCCGGGCGACCGGGGAGUACGAGGGGGCUGGACCGGGGUCGCACCGUCCGUCUUGAAACACGGGCCGGGGAGUUCACGGCCGUGGCGAGCUUAAGGGGGUCAACCCCGUAGGCGCAGGGAAACCGACAGGCCCGCAGCCGGGGGCGACCCCGGCGAGGGGCGGGGUCCUAAUAGGGCCCGGAGUCACGGCCGUGAGACCAGAAACCGGGCGAUCUAGGCGGGGGCAGGGCGAAGCCGGGGGAAACCCCGGUGGAGGCCCGCAAGGGUGCUGACGUGCAAAUCGCUCCCCUGACCCCCGUCUAGGGGUGAAAGGCCAAUCUAGCCCGGAAGAUAGCUGGUUCCCGCCGAAGUGGCUCGCAGGCCAGCCCCGCCGGAGGCCGGGCCGUGGGGUAGAGCUACUGAUUGGGCGUGCAGGGGGCGUAAAGCCCCCGGCGCCCAGUCAAACUCCGAACCUGCGGCCGCCGUAGAUGGCGGGAGUGGGGUUCCCCGGGGUAAGCCCGGGGGCCGAGAGGGGAACAACCCAGACCGGGGUUAAGGCCCCUAAGUGCCGGCUAAGUGCCAAGCCAAAGGGCGUCCCCCGCCUAAGACAGCGGGGAGGUGGGCCUAACAGCAGCCAUCCUCUAAGGAGUGCGUAACAGCUCACCCGCCGAGGCGGGGGGCCCCGAAGAUUGGUCGGGGCUUAAGCCGGCCGCCGAGACCCCGGGCCGCGGCUCCGAUGGAGCCGCGUGCGGUAGGCGGGCGUCGGGGUGGCGUAGAAGCCGGGCCGCGAGGUCCGGUGGAGCCGCCCCGAGUGCGGAUCCCGGCGGUAGUAACAGCGAAGCGGGGUGAGAAUCCCCGCCGCCGGAAAGGGCAAGGGUUCCCCGGCAAUGGUCGUCAGCCGGGGGUCAGCCGGUCCUAACCGGGACCGUAACACGGAUCCCGGGAAGGGGAAACGGGUUAACAUUCCCGUGCCGCGGGGGUACGCUUCGCGGCAACGCAAGGCCCCACCCCCGACGCCUCGGGGUAGGCGGACCGGGGGCCCCCUUAGGGGGGCGACCCGGCUAACCUGCCGAAGGCCGGGGAGUGCCGUAACGGCGAGAACCGGCCGAAGGGGGGAAUGGCCCGCCUAUGGCGGGUUCCGCCGACCCCUGGGGCCCUUGAAAAGGGGGUGGGGAAGGAUCCCCCGCGCCCGUACCGAGAACCGACACAGGUGCCCCUGGGUGAGCAGCCCAAGGCGUCUGGGGGCUAACCCGGGCCAGGGAACUCGGCAAAUUGGCCCCGUAACUUCGGGAGAAGGGGUGCCUGCGGUCCUGGGGCCCGAACCCUGGGACCGCAGGUCGCAGUGCCUAGGGGGGCCUGACUGUUUAACAAAAACAUAGCUCCCCGCUAGCCCGAAAAGGGUGUGUACGGGGGGUGAGCCCUGGCCACUGGCGGUCCGUGAAACCGGGGUACAACCCGGCGAAGCGCCGCUGAAGGCCGGGAGUAACCCUGACUCUCUUAAGGUAGCCAAAUGCCUUGCCGGGUAAGUUCCGGCGCGCAUGAACGGGUCAACGAGGUCCCCACUGUCCUGGCCCGGGGCCCCGUGAACCCCCUGAGCCGGUGCACAGUCCGGCAUCCCCCCGCAGGGAGAGAAGACCCCGUGGAGCUUUACCGCAGCCCGGCGUUGGCCCCCGGGUGGGGGUGCGUAGCGUAGGUGGGAGCCGAUGAGCCACCCUCUCCGGGGGGUGGGGAGGCGUCCAUGAAACACCACCCACCCCCGCCCGGGGGCCUAACCCCGCCCCGGGUGGGCGGGGGACAGCGUCGGGUGGGCGGUUUGGCUGGGGCGGCACGCCCGCGAAAGGGUAACACGGGCGCCCAAAGGUCGGCUCAGGCGGGUCAGAACUCCGCCGUAGAGUGCAAGGGCAAAAGCCGGCCUGACCGGACCCCUGAAAGCAAGGGGUCCGGCCGGGAAACCGUGGCCUAGCGCACGCUCGUGCCCCCUCGGUGGGGGCCGGGCACGACAGAAAAGUUACCCCGGGGAUAACAGAGUCGUCGCGGGCGAGAGCCCCCAUCGACCCCGCGGUUUGCUACCUCGAUGUCGGCUCUUCCCAUCCUGGGGGUGCAGCAGCCCCCAAGGGUGGGGCUGCCCGCCCAUUAAAGGGGAACGUGAGCUGGGUUCAGACCGUCGUGAGACAGGUCGGUCUCUACCCGCGGGGGGUGUGGGCCGCCUGAGGGGAAGGUGCCCUUAGUACGAGAGGAACGGGGCGCCGCGGCCUCUGGUGUACCGGUUGUCCUGGUGGGCAACGCCGGGCAGCUAAGCCGUAGGGGGUAACCGCUGAAAGCAUCUAAGCGGGAACCCCUCCCCGAAAAGAGGCGGCCGUUGGGCGCCGGCCUGGUGCCGGCGUCCACGAGGGCUCCCGUAGAAGACGGGGUUGAUGGGGCGGGGGUGUGAGCCCCGAGGGGGCUUAGCCCUCGAGGGGUGUAGCCCGCCGCUCCCAAUCGCCCGAGGUCG
Molecule: ribosomal RNA, 3086 nt
Filed under: Aeropyrum pernix
Lineage: Archaea; Thermoproteati; Thermoproteota; Thermoprotei; Acidilobales; Acidilobaceae
Description: 23S rRNA
Rfam family: Archaeal large subunit ribosomal RNA
Source: RNAcentral